GUGCUCGCUCCAGCAGCACAUAUAUUAAAAUUAGAGUUAUACAGAGAAGAUCAGCAUGGGCCCUGUGCAAGGAUGACACACAAACUCGUGAGAUGUUUCUUAGUUUU
Molecule: small nuclear RNA, 107 nt
Filed under: Salvator merianae (Argentine black and white tegu)
Lineage: Eukaryota; Metazoa; Chordata; Lepidosauria; Squamata; Teiidae
Source: RNAcentral